Molecule: long non-coding RNA, 452 nt
Organism: Helianthus annuus (common sunflower)
Lineage: Eukaryota; Viridiplantae; Streptophyta; Magnoliopsida; Asterales; Asteraceae
Exons: 3
Source: RefSeq, a predicted model, not a curated record
CCAAGAGAGCAGGGGGCGACAGGGGUUCUCCAAAACCCUAGAUUUCACAACUAAAAUCUGCAAAUUGAAGCCUCAAUCUCGUUCCAAAUCAAGUUCUAAACACGAAUUAGCAAACCCCUUGUUGUAAGGAUCAAAGAGGCAAAGAGUCCGGUUCAUCUAGCGGACAAGCCGAGGGGAAAUCACGAGGAAAAGGCGCGCUCUAAAGUUUUUCAGGUACUCAAGUGAAGGAUGAUGAUCAAGCAGUUGAUUUGGACCGAACACCUAACUUUACGCUUCCGCACUUGAACCUCGUUUUGUUAUUUUGUAAACUCUAGUAGUUUAUCUUGGAACAUUGUUGUAGUUUAAACAUGUAAAUGUUUUAUCAAAUGGGUUAGGAAUCUUGAAAGUUUUUGUAAGAACUACUUUUUGUGUAUUAUGUAAAGCUUAAUUGCUAGUUAAAAUGGGUAUUUUAA